CGCAAUGGGCGAAAGCCUGACGGAGCGACGCCGCGUGACUGAUGAAAUCCUUCGGGAUGUAAAGGUCUUUUAUGAGGGACGAAGUUUAUUGACGGUACCUCAAGAAUAAAGGGUUGCUAAACUCGUGCCAGCAGCAGCGGUAAUACGAGUGCCCUAAGCGUUAUCCGGAAUCAUUGGGCGUAAAGGGUGUGUAGGUGGUUGUGUUAGUCUUCUGUUAAAUUCUUCGGCUCAACCGGGGGCAUGCGGAGGAAACGGCGCGACUUGAGGAUGCGAGAGGCACAGGGAACUCAUGGAGUAGGGGUGAAAUCCGUUGAUAUCAUGGGGAACACCGAAAGCGAAGGCACUGUGCUAGCGCACUCCUGACACUGAAACACGAAAGCGU
RNAcentral lists this ribosomal RNA (382 nucleotides) under uncultured organism. RNAcentral describes it as "bacterial SSU rRNA". It matches the Rfam family "Bacterial small subunit ribosomal RNA", at positions 367 to 762 of the family's 1533-position model. The record is from RNAcentral.